GCGAUGACGUCACAGAGCGCGGGGCUGACGUCCUCCGUUAAGGGCGGAGUAAGCCCAGGUGGGCGUGGUUGAGACUGACGGAAGCCUGUUUAGUUGUCCAGGUUUGCUCCGGAUCCGAUGGUCGCCCACAGACCCCUUUCUCUCGGCCCAUGUCUGGAAGACGGACUUUCAAGCGCCAGGUCGGAAUUCAAGAUCAGCUUGGUCUACAUAGUGAACUCAAGGCCAACCGAGGGGCUAAAUAACCCUGACUCAAAAACAAACAAACAAACAAACAAACUUAAAGAAUUGUUAUAAAGUGGGCAGCACAUCUGAAUUGAGCAUCAGUUCCCUCACAAAGAGCUGUUUUGGAGAGCUUUGAGUAAGAAGGUGAUCUAAAUCGGGCGGUGGUGGCCCAUGCCUUUAACCCAGCACUCGGGAGGCAGAAGCAGGUGGAUCUUUGUGAAUUAAAGGCCACCCUGGUAUACCAAGUGAGUUCCAGGACCAGUUUCAAAGCUUCCCCCACCUCAACCUUGAACAGACAACAACAACAACAACAACAACAACAACAAAAAAGUGAUCUAGAGGGACAAUUGUUACACUGUGUCUGUUGUGCCAAAAAGGAGAGAGAAAUCAACUAUGGGCUCCUGAAACAGUAAAGUCUUUAAUAAAGUGCCACACAAGCAAGGUCUCUAAUCAAUCAUGGCUGGGAGACAAGAACUCCAGAGCUUUGUUUGUCCUGACAGCCCCAAGCGGGGAUGAAGCAGGAUUGAUAGGCACAAAAAUCACACCUGUGCCAAGUUAAAAUUUUCACCAAUCAGGAAUUAAAGAUUAGAGGCUUUCCCUGUGUGUUCCAUCAUUGUCAAGGGACAUGGAAUGUAAGCUUUCCAGUCCAACCAAUCUGAUUCAUUUGUUCCUUUUGUUGUUAGGAAUAGUCAUAAUGUUUUUAGAGAACUAAAGAUGUAUAACAGACUAUUUCUAUUGUUUAAGGAGGAGUUGGUCUUGGGAACUUGGACUUUGUUUCAACCUGCAGGUAAAAUGGAAGCUGAAGUCAAAAUGACUGUAUUUAGGACAAGGUGUUUUUGCCUGUUCCCUGCACAGUAAAGGAACUGCAAGUAAAAUCCUUAAAUAAAAAUGAACUGAUUUUACAAUCA
Molecule: long non-coding RNA, 1130 nt
Organism: Myodes glareolus (Bank vole)
Lineage: Eukaryota; Metazoa; Chordata; Mammalia; Rodentia; Cricetidae
Source: RefSeq, a predicted model, not a curated record